This is a long non-coding RNA of Bos taurus (domestic cattle), 815 nucleotides long. The record is from Ensembl. Lineage: Eukaryota; Metazoa; Chordata; Mammalia; Artiodactyla; Bovidae.
GGAAGGACCACCGCAGCCGGCUGGCCAACCUCACUAGCUCGCCACGUGACAUGGGGUGUUUGCAAUACCCUCCAGGGUGCUGGGCAGCCGGCAGCGGAAAAGUUUGUUAGCAGUGCUGACUGGGAGGGUGAGGAGGUGGGACCGAGCUGUGCCAGAUGCCACCUCAGUGAAUAGCACAGAAAGAUCUCCGGUCUCGGGCUUGACGCCCGCAGGCCCAGGGUCCCCUGGGGUCCCCAGCCCUGGCGAAUGGCACACUCCUAUUGCUCCCCCACCCCCAGAAGACUACAGCUUUCUCAUCUUUGUCACCAACCCUUCCUCAGCUCUCCAGCUUGACUUUGCCACUUGCUUCCUAUGGAGCCCCUGACCGACACCAGGAAGUACCAUACAUUCACUUCUGUACGCUUAAGGGAGAAAGCAGAGUGGAAAUACGCAUUUGGAUUUACAGAAUCCUGGAGAGGGUGUGUUGAAGGUCAGUGACGGCAGGGGCGGGUGACUCAAUCCCCAUACAGCUGGAUGGCAAGCCACCUGCUUCGGUUGGUGGCGGAAUUGACUCAAUCCCGUCUAGGCCUUUCACCGAGGACGCUCCGGAUCCUGAGCGAGAGGAACUACAGCACUGCACCCCCUCUGCCGCAGCCAGCCCACUGAGGCAACGCAUGAGAGGCGGCUGGAAGUGACAGCAGACAACAUCGCAACGUGCUACCUGCUCGCAAAACAAGAAGACAGACCCAUUCGCCAGCCGCGGGAACGGCUGCUUUCCUUUGUCCUUUCUCUACGGCUCAGAGAUGGGUGAGCUCAGGAGAGAAACACAAGCAGUG